UGUGGGCUGCUGCCUGCAGAGAGCCAGCAGGUGCCGCUGGGCUGGGUCUGCCAAGGACACUUUCCUGACAAUACCAGCAGUUAGAUAGAAUCACACAAACCUAUCUAUUUAAACCUACAUUGCCAGUACCAACCGGAAAUCAUAAUGCACAAGUGAACUGAAGGGUCAUUUCUUCUGCUGUGAAGAUGCUUUGCAAGUGGAAGACUGAAACCACUGGAAGACAAGAGAAUGGUUGUUGAUAACAGGAUUGAGCUACUGCGAUUGCUGCCUUGAGGGGUUCCCCCUCCACACUCACAGAACACCUGAGCCGGAUGAGGAGGUGGAAGAAAAGAACUCCGGAUGAUAUAUUCAGUGAGGUCCUGCAAGACAGUGCUGAAUCAGAGGGCUUGGAGGAUGAAUACUGCAGACUGUAUGGAGAAGGAAAAAGCAGACAAAGAGGGAGAUGCACCAGGAUAUAAUGGGGCUUCUCCAGCAGCAAACACAUAUGCUGCAGACUCUUGUGGACCUACAAGUUCAACAAUCCUCAGUUCGCCUAUCUUGCAGUUCAUGGAGAACUCCAGUAUAGUACCUCCCUACAUGAGCCCCUCAACAUUCCACACAGCAUCAGGGGCCACAUCCCUACCGCUACCACUCCACCUCAGGGAACAUUAAGGAAAACCACAGCUUCACAUACAUCAACA
Molecule: long non-coding RNA, 680 nt
Organism: Mauremys mutica (yellowpond turtle)
Lineage: Eukaryota; Metazoa; Chordata; Testudines; Geoemydidae
Exons: 3
Source: RefSeq, a predicted model, not a curated record